GAUGAACGCUGGCGGCGUGCCUAAUACAUGCAAGUCGAGCGAACAGACGAGGAGCUUGCUCCUCUGACGUUAGCGGCGGACGGGUGAGUAACACGUGGAUAACCUACCUAUAAGACUGGGAUAACUUCGGGAAACCGGAGCUAAUACCGGAUAACAUGUUGAACCGCAUGGUUCAACAGUGAAAGACGGUCUUGCUGUCACUUAUAGAUGGAUCCGCGCCGCAUUAGCUAGUUGGUAAGGUAACGGCUUACCAAGGCAACGAUUCGUAGCCGACCUGAGAGGGUGAUCGGCCACACUGGAACUGAGACACGGUCCAGACUCCUACGGGAGGCAGCAGUAGGGAAUCUUCCGCAAUGGGCGAAAGCCUGACGGAGCAACGCCGCGUGAGUGAAGAAGGUCUUCGGAUCGUAAAACUCUGUUAUUAGGGAAGAACAAAUGUGUAAGUAACUAUGCACGUCUUGACGGUACCUAAUCAGAAAGCCACGGCUAACUACGUG
RNAcentral lists this ribosomal RNA (497 nucleotides) under uncultured bacterium. Its description in RNAcentral is "partial 16S ribosomal RNA". It matches the Rfam family "Bacterial small subunit ribosomal RNA", at positions 28 to 507 of the family's 1533-position model. The record is from RNAcentral.